GACCCUAUCGUCUAGCGGUUAGGACACUGCCCUUUCACGGCAGCGGCACGGGUUCGAUUCCCGUUAGGGUCGCCA
RNAcentral lists this transfer RNA (75 nucleotides) under Pedosphaera parvula Ellin514. RNAcentral describes it as "tRNA-Glu". It matches the Rfam family "tRNA". Rfam says of the family: Transfer RNA (tRNA) molecules are approximately 80 nucleotides in length. Their secondary structure includes four short double-helical elements and three loops (D, anti-codon, and T loops). The record is from RNAcentral. RNAcentral also lists the same sequence under 3 other names. Lineage: Bacteria; Pseudomonadati; Verrucomicrobiota; Pedosphaerae; Pedosphaerales; Pedosphaeraceae.